Long non-coding RNA from Trifolium pratense (red clover), 1331 nucleotides. RefSeq lists it as uncharacterized. The record is from RefSeq and is a predicted model, not a curated record. Lineage: Eukaryota; Viridiplantae; Streptophyta; Magnoliopsida; Fabales; Fabaceae. The transcript is spliced from 7 exons.
UCUAAAACGCAAAAACCCUUUCAUCACAGCAUCGCUGCUUCGCCGCAUCGCCGUUUUCCUUUGGCGCACUGUGGAGUUCCUGCAACCACAAAUCCCUAAAUCCUUCCAAAUCCAAACCCCUAAACUAAUUCAUCAUUUCAAUCCCUAAUAUUUAAAUCUCUAACAAAGCUUAUCAUGACAAACCUUCUCUUUCUUUCUCUCGUUGAGCAGAGUUGGUUGUUUUCAUCUCAGGUUCAUUGUUCUCUCGUUGAGAAAAGUUCAUUGAUUUCAUUUGAGCCUCACAUCUCAAAUCUUGUGUCGUGACUCGUUUGUUCUUCGUCCGCCGAUCUGUCACUCAUCAUCUUUCUAUGUGCUUCGAGCCUCUCUGGUUGAUGAAUUAGUUUGGUUUUGGUUCGGAUAAGUUGGUGUGUGCAUUGGUUUGGUCUUUUUCUGGUUGCGGCUGCUGGUGUUUUUGGCCUCUGGUACUGGUUUUUAUGUGCUUUCUAGUUUCUUGCUCGGGACUUGAGUGAUUGGAUUCUUAGUUCAUGUUAUUCUUGAAGGCCUGCUUUGGUUUGGGUUUCCCGGCGUCUGUCUUUUGGGUUUUGGCCCUUAGGUUAAGUUCUUUUGUCUCUUUCUAUGUGUGAGUGUUGUUGAUUGGAUAAUUUGGACUGAUUUUCUAGUUUAAGCAUUGGUUGCUAUUAGCUAACAGAGCAUGGACUUCAUGUUUCAAGAGCAUUGUGAAAGCUACAGUCCAAGCACAUCAGUGAAUCAGAGAGUUGCAGCAGCUUCUGAUGUCAUACUACCUUUCUCAAUUACCAUAUCAGGAUCCCCUCCAAAUACUCGAGGCUGAUAUACAACAAGCUACUGCAAUUCCAAGAGCCAGAGGUAUUAACUCUAGUGGAUUCACUAGUGGUGCUCAAAAUUCUAUAGGGGAUUGUUUGAGGAAUGUGAUAUCAAAUUCCAGCUUAGAGAUUGCGGUUGUGACACAGGUUGUGUGGUGCUGUUUGAUUCAUUUUAGUAAGGCUUGAGGUUGUUAAUAAUUGAGGCACUUUGGUAACUGAGUUAGAAAAGUCUAAGAGAUGGCAAAUGUUCGGAGUCUAGUUAGCACUAAUUAAGGAUCACGAAACAACAUCACAUGCUAGGAAUAUUGAGAUAUUUUGUUAAAUCCUUAUUUUGACUUAAUGUGUUGUAUAUUUUGCCACUCUACUAAUGGUUAGGUUUUAGUUUUUUGAAUGAUUGAACUACAUUAGAUUAUUCUUUUUUUUUUCUUUAGGAGUUUCAUGUAUUUUAAUCAGAUUUUUUAUGUAUAAAUGUUGUUAGUAUUGAAUUGAAUGAAUUAUAUAAAUGAGAUU